GAUCAUGGCUCAGGAUGAACGCUGGCGGCGUGCCUAACACAUGCAAGUCGAACGAAGCAAUUGAAGGAAGUUUUCGGAUGGAAUUCGAUUGACUGAGUGGCGGACGGGUGAGUAACGCGUGGAUAACCUGCCUCACACUGGGGGAUAACAGUUAGAAAUAACUGCUAAUACCGCAUAAGCGCACAGUACCGCAUGGUACAGUGUGAAAAACUCCGGUGGUGUGAGAUGGAUCCGCG
This 236-nucleotide ribosomal RNA is filed under the name uncultured bacterium. RNAcentral's name for it is "partial 16S ribosomal RNA". It matches the Rfam family "Bacterial small subunit ribosomal RNA", at positions 15 to 235 of the family's 1533-position model. The record is from RNAcentral.